Molecule: transfer RNA, 74 nt
Filed under: Desulfobacterales bacterium
Lineage: Bacteria; Pseudomonadati; Thermodesulfobacteriota; Desulfobacteria; Desulfobacterales
Description: tRNA-Thr
Rfam family: tRNA
About the family: Transfer RNA (tRNA) molecules are approximately 80 nucleotides in length. Their secondary structure includes four short double-helical elements and three loops (D, anti-codon, and T loops).
Source: RNAcentral
GCCCACGUAGCUCAGACGGUAGAGCGCUUCCUUGGUAAGGAAGAGGUUCACCGGUUCGAUUCCGGUCGUGGGCU